Long non-coding RNA from Oncorhynchus mykiss (rainbow trout), 2163 nucleotides. Lineage: Eukaryota; Metazoa; Chordata; Actinopteri; Salmoniformes; Salmonidae. The record is from Ensembl.
AUGGCGGGAGAGACAGAACACAGCCUGUUAGGAGGGAGAUGGAGGGAGACAGAGAGAGAGAGGCAGAACACAGCCUGUUUGGAGGGAGACGGAGAAAGAGAGGCAGAACACAUCAUGGGACGGAGGGAGGGAGAAAGAGAGGCAGAACACAUCAUGGGACGGAGGGAGGGAGAAAUAGAGGCAGAACACAUCAUGGGAUGGAGGGAGGGAGAAAGAGAGGCAGAACACAGCCUGGGACAGAGGGAGGGAGAAAGAGAGGCAGAACACAUCAUGGGAUGGAGGGAAGGAGGGAGAAAGAGAGGCAGAACACAGCCUGGGAUGGAGGGAAGGAGGGAGAAAGAGAGGCAGAACACAUCAUGGGACGGAGGGAGGGAGAAAGAGAGGCAGAACACAUCAUGGGACAGAGGGAGGGAGAAAGAGAGGCAGAACACAGCCUGGGAUGGAGGGAGGGAGAAAGAGAGGCAGAACACAGCCUGGGACGGAGGGAGGGAGGGAGAAAUAGAGGCAGAACACAGCCUGGGACGGAGGGAGGGAGAAAGAGAGGCAGAACACAGCCUGGGAUGGAGGGAGGGAGAAAGAGAGGCAGAACACAGCCUGGGAUGGAGGGAGGGAGAAAGAGAGGCAGAACACAUCAUGGGACGGAGGGAGGGAGAAAGAGAGGCAGAACACAGCCUGGGAUGGAGGGAAGGAGGGAGAAAGAGAGGCAGAACACAUCAUGGGAUGGAGGGAGGGAGAAAGAGAGACAGAACACAGCCUGGACGGAGGGAGGGAGAAAGAGAGGCAGAACACAGCCUGGGAUGGAGGGAGGAAGAAAGAGAGGCAGAACACAGCCUGGGAUGGAGGGAGGGAGAAAGAGAGGCAGAACACAGCCUGGGAUGGAGGGAGGGAGAAAGAGAGGCAGAACACAUCAUGGGACGGAGGGAGGGAGAAAGAGAGGCAGAACACAGCCUGGGAUGGAGGGAAGGAGGGAGAAAGAGAGGCAGAACACAGCCGGGGAUGGAGGGAGGGAGAAAGAGAGGCAGAACACAGCCUGGGAUGGAGGGAGGGAGAAAGAGAGGCAGAACACAUCAUGGGAUAGAGGGAGGGAGAAAGAGAGACAGAACACAGCCUGGGACGGAGGGAGGGAGAAAGAGAGGCAGAACACAGCCUGGGAUGGAGGGAGGAAGAAAGAGAGGCAGAACACAGCCUGGGAUGGAGGGAGGGAGAAAGAGAGGCAGAACACAGCCUGGGAUUGAGGGAGGGAGAAAGAGAGGCAGAACACAUCAUGGGACGGAGGGAGGGAGAAAGAGAGGCAGAACACAGCCUGGGACGGAGGGAGGGAGAAAGAGAGGCAGAACACAUCAUGGGACGGAGGGAGGGAGAAAGAGAGGCAGAACACAGCCUGGGACAGAGGGAGGGAGAAAGAGAGGCAGAACACAGCCUGGGAUGGAGGGAGGGAGAAAGAGAGGCAGAACACAGCCUGGGAUGGAGGGAGGGAGAAAGAGAGGCAGAACACAUCAUGGGACGGAGGGAGGGAGAAAGAGAGGAAAACACAGCCUGGGAUGGAGGGAAGGAGAAAGAGAGGCAGAACACAGCUUGGGACGGAGGGAGGGAGAAAGAGAGGCAGAACACAGCCUGGGACGGAGGGAGGGAGAAAGAGAGGCAGAACACAUCAUGGGACAGAGGGAGGGAGAAAGAGAGCCAGAACACAGCCUGGGAUGGAGGGAGGGAGAAAGAGAGGCAGAACACAUCAUGGGACAGAGGGAGGGAGAAAGAGAGGCAGAACACAGCCUGGGAUGGAGGGAGGGAGAAAGAGAGGCAGAACACAGCCUGGGAUGGAGGGAGGGAGAAAGAGAGGCAGAACACAGCCUGGGACGGAGGGAGGGAGAAAGAGAGGCAGAACACAGCCUGGGACGGAGGGAGGGAGAAAGAGAGGCAGAACACAUCAUGGGAUGGAGGGAGGGAGAAAUAGAGGCAGAACACAGCCUGGGAUGGAGGGAGGGAGAAAGAACGGCAAAACACAGCCUGGGAUGGAGGGAGGGAGAAAGAGAGGCAGAACACAGCCUGGGAUGGAGGGAAGGAGGGAGAAAGAGAGGCAGAACACAGCCUGGGAUGGAGGGAGGGAGAAAGAGAGGCAGAACACAGCCUGGGAUGGAGGGAGGGAGAAAGAGAGGCAGAGAGUAA